Molecule: non-coding RNA, 31 nt
Filed under: Homo sapiens (human)
Lineage: Eukaryota; Metazoa; Chordata; Mammalia; Primates; Hominidae
Source: RNAcentral
UGAUGGAGAAUCAUGAGAGAUGGCAGGCCAU